CUGCGAUGCGGGUGAAGAGCCGGGGGAAAACGAAGGGGGCAAACGUGUCUUGGAAUUAUUGGGCCGCAAGCACAAGUAUGCGGCUUUGAAAGUCGGAUGUGAAAGCCCACUGCUUAACCAAGGAAGUGCAUCCGAAACUGCAGGGCUUGAGUACGAAAGAGGAUGGCGGAAUUCCGGGGGUAGAGGUGAAAUUCGUAGAUAUCGGGAGGAACACCAGUGGCGAAGGCGGCGAUCUGGGUCGAUACUGACGCUGAGGUGCGAAAGCGUGGGGAGCAAACAGGAUUAGAUACCCCAUUAGUC
RNAcentral lists this ribosomal RNA (300 nucleotides) under uncultured archaeon. RNAcentral describes it as "bacterial SSU rRNA". It matches the Rfam family "Bacterial small subunit ribosomal RNA", at positions 494 to 795 of the family's 1533-position model. The record is from RNAcentral.